AUGGUAGGAUAGAGGCCUACCAUGGUGGUAACGGGUAACGGGGUGUUAGGGCACGACACCGGAGAGGGAGCCUGAGAAACGGCUACCACAUCCAAGGAAGGCAGCAGGCGCGCAAAUUACCCAAUCCCGACACGGGGAGGUAGUGACAAUAAAUAACAAUACAGGGUUCUUUGAAUCUUGUAAUUGGAAUGAGUACAAUUUAAAUCUCUUAACGAGGAACAAUUGGAGGGCAAGUCUGGUGCCAGCAGCCGCGGUAAUUCCAGCUCCAAUAGCGUAUAUUAAAGUUGUUGCAGUUAAAAAGCUCGUAGUUGAAUUUCGGGAUCAAUACGUCGGUCGUGCUUUCGGGUACGUACUGGCGUCAUUGGUUUCUCCUUUCUGACGAACCAUGAUGUCAUUAAUUUGGUGUUAUGGGGAGUUAGGACUGUUACUUUGAAAAAAUUAGAGUGCUUAAAGCAGGCAUUAGCUUGAAUACAGUAGCAUGGAAUAAUGAAAUAGGACGUUCGAUCCUAUUUUGCUGGUUUCUAGGAUCAACGUAAUGAUUAAUAGGGAUAGUUGGGGGCAUUAGUAUUCAAUUGUCAGAGGUGAAAUUCUUGGAUUUAUUGAAGACUAACUACUGCGAAAGCAUUUGCCAAGGAUGUUUUCAUUAAUCAAGAACGAAAGUUAGGGGAUCGAAGACGAUCAGGUACCGUCGUAGUCUUAACCAUAAACUAUGCCGACUAGGGAUCGGAUGAUGUUAAUUUUUUAAUGACUCAUUCGGCGCCUUACGGGAAACCAAAGUG
RNAcentral lists this ribosomal RNA (779 nucleotides) under uncultured Glomus. Its description in RNAcentral is "SSU rRNA". It matches the Rfam family "Eukaryotic small subunit ribosomal RNA", at positions 325 to 1105 of the family's 1831-position model. Lineage: Eukaryota; Fungi; Glomeromycota; Glomeromycetes; Glomerales; Glomeraceae. The record is from RNAcentral.